AGUUAACCAAGUUGUAAAGGAAACUGAAGAAAUAACUGCAUCCAUCAUCGAAAAGGGUACCGAAUCAGCCAGCCAAGUUAUAUACAUAACCAUAUCUGUGGUCGGUGGUAUCCCAAUCAUUGGUGAUACAGCACAAUCCGUUCUCACCUCACAAACAGACAUGGCAACUCAAUUGAUCAAUGCUACAACUUCUUCAAUCAAGGAGAACGGCAUAGUUGGAACUAUCACAUCAGCUGUAGAACAAGUUGCAAGUGAGGCACAACAAACAACUGCAUCCAUCAUCCAAAAGGGUACCGAAUCAGUCAACCAAGUUUUAGACACAACCAUAUCUGCUGUCGGUGGUAUCCCAAUCAUUGGUGAUGCAGCACAAUCCAUUCUCACCUCACAAACAGACAUGGCAAGUCAAUUGAUCGAUGCCACAACUUCUUCAGUCAAGGAGAAUGGUAUAUAUGGAACUAUCACGUCAGUAACCACGUCAGUAACCCAAAAUGUUAUAAACGGGGCACAAUCAACAACUGAAUCCAUCAC
RNAcentral lists this long non-coding RNA (528 nucleotides) under Lactuca sativa (garden lettuce). Its description in RNAcentral is "long non-coding RNA (LSAT_LNC008843)". Lineage: Eukaryota; Viridiplantae; Streptophyta; Magnoliopsida; Asterales; Asteraceae. The record is from RNAcentral.